This 74-nucleotide transfer RNA is filed under the name Acidithiobacillus caldus ATCC 51756. Its description in RNAcentral is "tRNA-Arg". It matches the Rfam family "tRNA". From Rfam's summary of the family: Transfer RNA (tRNA) molecules are approximately 80 nucleotides in length. Their secondary structure includes four short double-helical elements and three loops (D, anti-codon, and T loops). Further hydrogen bonds mediate the characteristic L-shaped molecular structure. tRNAs have two regions of fundamental functional importance: the anti-codon, which is responsible for specific mRNA codon recognition, and the 3' end, to which the tRNAs corresponding amino acid is attached (by aminoacyl-tRNA synthetases). tRNAs cope with the degeneracy of the genetic code in two manners: having more than one tRNA (with a specific anti-codon) for a particular amino acid; and 'wobble' base-pairing, i.e. permitting non-standard base-pairing at the 3rd anti-codon position. Lineage: Bacteria; Pseudomonadati; Pseudomonadota; Acidithiobacillia; Acidithiobacillales; Acidithiobacillaceae. The record is from RNAcentral. RNAcentral also lists the same sequence under 1 other name.
GCGGGCAUGGGGCAAAAAUGGGCUACGUUGGACUCCGAAUCCAAAGUUCACUGGUUCGAAUCCAGUAUCGCGCA